Long non-coding RNA from Micropterus dolomieu (smallmouth bass), 819 nucleotides. RefSeq lists it as uncharacterized. NCBI's taxonomy places the organism in Eukaryota, Metazoa, Chordata, Actinopteri, Centrarchiformes, Centrarchidae. The transcript has 4 exons. The record is from RefSeq and is a predicted model, not a curated record.
UAACAGGUUGCUUUAACUGUUUAUGCGAGUUAUUUGAACACGCAGCUGACAACCAAUCAGAGAGCAGGGUUCUCACCUUGGAUUUUCUGUGCAUAUGGGUUUACUAUUUGAAAGACGGGAUCGAGAGCUUUCAGCACCACCUGGUGGACAAACAGAAGAAAGAGAUCUUUUCUCUGUUUCUAAAAGAAGGAGUGGUACUUGUGUAAAAGCUUCAGCUUUAUUCUCAUUUGUUCCAGUCUGAUUCUUCACUGACACAAUUUCUAAUCUCUGGUUUGAUAUCAUCUGGAUCAAACCUAUCCGUCAUUUUCAUCAACGACGUCAUCGAUGCUGUCAGCCGCCUGAUUGGACACUGCAGGAAAAUGAAGCGAACAAUCUUCUGCAAAGUAACGAAAAACUUUCCAACUUCGUCCAAAAUCUUUCGAUCGCUCCACCAACAUGGCCGUCGGACGGAAACUCUGCAGAGAGCAAGCACAGGAAGUGACAUCACAGUGUGCUACCUUGAAGGUGAGGACCAGGUGACUGAACUGGAACACGGUCUCCAGAUCCAACCUGAGGCUGACCUGAUGAACUCCUGCAGACAACACAGCAGCAGGUACACAGGUAUCCAAUGAUGCAGUAGUCCUGUGGUCCAUCCAGACCGCAGGUGGACGAGGCUGACAACUGAUCCGCUCGACCAACCAUCAGGUCACCAAGCUGGGGGUUACAGGAGCCGCCGGGGCACUGGUCCUGGAGGUCCUGGAGCUGAGCAACUGGAAGAAAAACUGCAGAAGGAUAGAUGGGUCAGAAAGAUUUUAAAGUCUAGGGGAGAUGUCAAAUGUU